GAUGAACGCUGGCGGCGUGCUUAACACAUGCAAGUCGAACGAAGCAUUUAAAGCGGAUUUCUUCGGAUUGAAGCUUUUUAUGACUGAGUGGCGGACGGGUGAGUAACGCGUGGGUAACCUGCCUCACACAGGGGGAUAGCAGCUGGAAACGGCUGGUAAUACCGCAUAAGCGCACGGUACCGCAUGGUACAGUGUGAAAAACUCCGGUGGUGUGAGAUGGACCCGCGUCUGAUUAGGUAGUUGGUGAGGUAACGGCUCACCAAGCCGACGAUCAGUAUCCGACCUGAGAGGGUGACCGGCCACAUUGGGACUGAGACACGGCCCAG
This 326-nucleotide ribosomal RNA is filed under the name uncultured bacterium. RNAcentral describes it as "bacterial SSU rRNA". It matches the Rfam family "Bacterial small subunit ribosomal RNA", at positions 28 to 334 of the family's 1533-position model. The record is from RNAcentral.